Molecule: ribosomal RNA, 490 nt
Filed under: Stenotrophomonas sp. N1
Lineage: Bacteria; Pseudomonadati; Pseudomonadota; Gammaproteobacteria; Lysobacterales; Lysobacteraceae
Description: bacterial SSU rRNA
Rfam family: Bacterial small subunit ribosomal RNA
Source: RNAcentral
ACCCCAUGCAGUCGAACGGCAGCACAGUAAGAGCUUGCUCUUAUGGGUGGCGAGUGGCGGACGGGUGAGGAAUACAUCGGAAUCUACUUUUUCGUGGGGGAUAACGUAGGGAAACUUACGCUAAUACCGCAUACGACCUACGGGUGAAAGCAGGGGAUCUUCGGACCUUGCGCGAUUGAAUGAGCCGAUGUCGGAUUAGCUAGUUGGCGGGGUAAAGGCCCACCAAGGCGACGAUCCGUAGCUGGUCUGAGAGGAUGAUCAGCCACACUGGAACUGAGACACGGUCCAGACUCCUACGGGAGGCAGCAGUGGGGAAUAUUGGACAAUGGGCGCAAGCCUGAUCCAGCCAUACCGCGUGGGUGAAGAAGGCCUUCGGGUUGUAAAGCCCUUUUGUUGGGAAAGAAAUCCAGCCGGCUAAUACCUGGUUGGGAUGACGGUACCCAAAGAAUAAGCACCGGCUAACUUCGUGCCAGCAGCCGGGGGUAAUACA